RNAcentral lists this microRNA precursor (60 nucleotides) under Drosophila ananassae. RNAcentral's name for it is "Dan-Mir-316_pre stem-loop". Lineage: Eukaryota; Metazoa; Arthropoda; Insecta; Diptera; Drosophilidae. The record is from RNAcentral.
UGUCUUUUUCCGCUUACUGGCGUUUAAUUCAAACAACGACAGGAAAGGGAAAAAGGCGUA